Molecule: ribosomal RNA, 504 nt
Filed under: uncultured bacterium
Lineage: Bacteria
Description: bacterial SSU rRNA
Rfam family: Bacterial small subunit ribosomal RNA
Source: RNAcentral
CGAGUUUGAUCCUGGCUCAGAUUGAACGCUGGCGGCAUGCCUUACACAUGCAAGUCGAACGGCAGCACGGGAGCAAUCCUGGUGGCGAGUGGCGAACGGGUGAGUAAUAUAUCGGAACGUGCCCAGUCGUGGGGGAUAACGUAGAGAAAUUUACGCUAAUACCGCAUACGAUCUAAGGAUGAAAGCGGGGGACCGUAAGGCCUCGCGCGAUUGGAGCGGCUGAUAUCAGAUUAGGUUGUUGGUGAGGUAAAAGCUCACCAAGUCGACGAUCUGUAGCUGGUUUGAGAGAACGACCAGCCACACUGGGACUGAGACACGGCCCAGACUCCUACGGGAGGCAGCAGUGGGGAAUUUUGGACAAUGGGCGAAAGCCUGAUCCAGCAAUGCCGCGUGCAGGAAGAAGGCCUUCGGGUUGUAAACUGCUUUUGUACGGAACGAAAAGGUCUGCCCUAAUACGGCGGGCCCAUGACGGUACCGUAAGAAUAAGCACCGGCUAACUACGUG